This is a non-coding RNA of Camelina sativa (false flax), 1391 nucleotides long. The record is from RefSeq and is a predicted model, not a curated record. Lineage: Eukaryota; Viridiplantae; Streptophyta; Magnoliopsida; Brassicales; Brassicaceae.
CUCUGGUAAAGUAAUGAGAAAAUAGAAAACACCAUUUUUUUUUCUUUUUUGCCCAUUUUCUUCUUCCUUUUUUUGCGACUCUCUCUCUCUCGAGACGGAACCGGCUAUUCUCUUCCCUUGAAUCGAUUGAUUUUUGACACCAAUUUUAUACUUCUCCUCUCUUUGAAUUGUUUCGUCGUCUUCAUCUCUUCAUCUCUUCAUCAGCCGUUGUACUUUCCAGUGACAAGAAAGAGAGAGUUCAGAGAGAGAGAGAGCGAGGCAGAUCCUCAUCGUCUUGGUUCUUGUUUCUUCCCCGAUCUCUCGAUUUUCUCCUCCGAUUUAAGAUAAAUAAACCCUCCGAUCUACUACUUGCCCUUGUGUUGGAUCUCGAUUACUACUCGAGUUACUUGGGAUUUGAUUUUGGUUGGAUUAGAUCGGUCAAACUAUUGGAAAUGUUUUGAUAUUAGCUCAACGAUUGGUGUUUGACUUGAUCUUAGUUGAUUUACUUGUUGUAUUUUGCUUCGGAUCCGGAUCAUUUUGACUUGCUUUUUGUCUAUAGAAAUCAGAAAUUUUGAAAUGUUUGUUGAAGUUUGACUUAGAAUCUGUUGAUUUGACUCUGACGGAUGAAGAAACCAAGUGAUCAUAUCUGAUGAUACAUGGCAUGAAUCCUUGCGAUUUUAUCAUCCGAUGAGUAUGGAUUCUUCAAAUCUGGUUUUAUUAUGAGUCUGGUGAUCAUAUUAAUUAAUGAUGGAGGGUUACGCUGAAUUGAAUCUUACACAGAGAUCGAAGCCUGUUUUUGAUUAAUCAAGCUUUUGCUUCUUUCUUGAUGGCCGAUGUUGAUGAUAUUCAAGACAAUGGUACUCGAAUGGUCAAGGUUUAGUCAUUUCUUCCUUACUUUUCAGGUUUUGUGGAUUCUCUCACUUUUUGUUCAGAUAUAUUGAUACAUGGAUUAUAAUACACACUGCUUACUGAGGCUCCUCUUAACCCAAAAGCCAACAGAGAGAAGAUUCGAGACCUUCAAUUCUCCAGCUAUGUAUGUCGCCUUUCAAGAUGUUCUAUCACUUUACGCUAGUGGUCGUACAACCGUUUUGUGUUGGACUCUGGUGAUGGUGUGUCUCACACUGUACCAAUCUACAAAGGUUUCUCUCUUCCACAUGCUAUCCUUCGUCUUGACCUUGAUGGUCGUGACCUUACUGAUUACCUUAUGAAGAUCCUUACCGAGAGAGGUUACAUGUUCACCACAACAGCAGAACGAGAAAUUGUGAGAGACAUCAAAGAGAAGCUUUCUUUUGUUGUUGUGGAUUAUGAGCAAGAGAUGGAGACAUUAAAAACCAGCUCCUGUAUGUAAAAUAUUUUUGGUUUAUUAUUUCUGAAUUAUGUAAACUAUUUUUGUUUUUUUUUAAUGUAAUAUA